This 292-nucleotide ribosomal RNA is filed under the name uncultured bacterium. RNAcentral describes it as "partial 16S ribosomal RNA". It matches the Rfam family "Bacterial small subunit ribosomal RNA", at positions 505 to 796 of the family's 1533-position model. The record is from RNAcentral.
GUGCCAGCAGCCGCGGUAAUACGGAGGGUGCAAGCGUUGUCCGGAUUUAUUGGGUUUAAAGGGUGCGUAGGCGGCCUUUUAAGUCAGUGGUGAAAUCCUCCAGCUUAACUGGAGAACUGCCAUUGAUACUGAGAGGCUUGAGUACAGACGAGGUAGGCGGAAUUGACAGUGUAGCGGUGAAAUGCAUAGAUAUUGUCAAGAACACCGAUUGCGAAGGCAGCUUACUAGGCUGUAACUGACGCUGAGGCACGAAAGUGCGGGGAUCAAACAGGAUUAGAAACCCGUGUAGUCC